This 328-nucleotide long non-coding RNA is filed under the name Homo sapiens (human). Its description in RNAcentral is "HSALNT0094208". The record is from RNAcentral. Lineage: Eukaryota; Metazoa; Chordata; Mammalia; Primates; Hominidae.
UUCAAAUACAGUUUGUGUAUCUAUAUCCAAAAUGCUUGGAACCUGAAGAGUUUCAGAAUUUGGACGGGGAGAGGUUGAUUUUGGAAUAUUUGCAUUACAUAGUACUUACCAGUUGAGCAUCUCUGAUCCAGAAAUCCCAAAUCUGAAAUGCUCCAUUGAGCAUCAUGUUAGGCAUGUAAAAAGUUUCAGACUUUCAGAUCAGGAUAUUCAACCUGUAACCUAGUUGUGGUUUAUGUAUUUAAAUGAAUAGUCAUUUCAAACAGAUUAUCAUAGUUGUUUAAAUAAGAAGCCAUUUAUAAUAAACUUAUUUUUUCAUAAUAGUUUAAUU